Molecule: ribosomal RNA, 469 nt
Filed under: uncultured bacterium
Lineage: Bacteria
Description: partial 16S ribosomal RNA
Rfam family: Bacterial small subunit ribosomal RNA
Source: RNAcentral
GACGAACGCUGGCGGCGUGCUUAACACAUGCCAGUCGAACGGAAAGGCCCUGCUUGCAGGGUGCUCGAGUGGCGAACGGGUGAGUAACACGUGGGUGAUCUGCCCCUUACUUUGGGAUAAGUCUGGGAAACUGGGUCUAAUACUGGAUAGGACCAUGCUGUAGGUGGUGUGGUGGAAAGAUUAGUUUCGGUAAGGGAUGAGCUCGCGGCCUAUCAGCUUGUUGGUGGGGUAAUGGCCUACCAAGGCGUCGACGGGUAGCCGGCCUGAGAGGGUGGACGGCCACAUUGGGACUGAGAUACGGCCCAGACUCCUACGGGAGGCAGCAGUGGGGAAUAUUGCACAAUGGGCGCAAGCCUGAUGCAGCGACGCCGCGUGGGGGAUGACGGCCUUCGGGUUGUAAACCCCUUUCAGCCAUGACGAAGCCCUUGUGGUGACGGUAGUGGUAGAAGAAGCACCGGCUAACUACGUG